CCCUUAGAUGUCCUGGGCCGCACGCGCGUUACACUGAUGCAUUCAACGAGCUUAUAACCUUGGCCGAGAGGCCUGGGCAAUCUUGUUAACGUGCAUCGUGAUAGGGAUAGAUUAUUGAAAUUAUUAAUCUUGAACGAGGAAUUCCUAGUAAACGCAGAUCAUCAAUCUGCAUUGAUUACGUCCCUGCCCUUUGUACACACCGCCCGUCGCACCUACCGAUUUCGAGUGGUUCGGUGAACCUUUCGGACCGGCAAUGCCUCGUGUUGCGCCGGAAAGUCAAGUAAACCAUAUCACUUAGAGGAAGGAGAAGUCGUAACA
Molecule: ribosomal RNA, 318 nt
Filed under: uncultured eukaryote
Lineage: Eukaryota
Description: partial 18S ribosomal RNA
Rfam family: Eukaryotic small subunit ribosomal RNA
Source: RNAcentral